AAGCCCCGGCAGAAUCUACUCUGCUGCUUAAGAUUUGCAGUCUUUAUUCAGAGCC
RNAcentral lists this transfer RNA (55 nucleotides) under Pristimantis altamazonicus (Amazon robber frog). Its description in RNAcentral is "tRNA-Cys". Lineage: Eukaryota; Metazoa; Chordata; Amphibia; Anura; Strabomantidae. The record is from RNAcentral.